GAUCCACUUGCUCUUGCCACAACCUAUAUUUACAGUCACAAUGUUCAGAACAAUCGAGUACCAGAAACACAGAAAUUUAAGGAAAACACAUUAAAAAGAUACAAUACAACUACAAGCAAACUUAUAUCAUCACACUCAUCUUACUACGUAAGGCAUUCCCUUUAAUGCUUAUGCUGUUUCAAGCAAAUGAGCUUUUUUUAUACUUCUUUGAUUUGAUAGGUAAGAUUACUGCUGACCGACCUAUGUCAUGCAAUCGAUGGUAAAAAGCAACAUAUAGCACCAAGAAAAUUAAAGAAUAUGUUAUGCAAGUAUCACAUAAUUACAUCCAAUAUGAAAAAUGGCUUUUUUUCUUUAAAACACUUUUAAUUGACCAAAAAGAAGGCUUCUUCCAAACAAACCCUUCAAUAGGAGUUGAUAGGAGAGAGAGGGGAAAAAGA
RNAcentral lists this unclassified non-coding RNA (437 nucleotides) under Hevea brasiliensis (rubber tree). Lineage: Eukaryota; Viridiplantae; Streptophyta; Magnoliopsida; Malpighiales; Euphorbiaceae. The record is from RNAcentral.